UUGCCACUUUGUGGUUCAUGACUGGGGUGAAGUCGUAACAAGGUAGCGCUAGGGGAACCUGGCGCUGGAUCACCUCCUUACACGAUGAU
RNAcentral lists this ribosomal RNA (89 nucleotides) under Vibrio cholerae. RNAcentral describes it as "partial 16S ribosomal RNA". The stretch from base 1 to 80 matches the Rfam family "Bacterial small subunit ribosomal RNA", at positions 1454 to 1533 of the family's 1533-position model. The record is from RNAcentral. Lineage: Bacteria; Pseudomonadati; Pseudomonadota; Gammaproteobacteria; Vibrionales; Vibrionaceae.